GUGAGGAAUAUUGGUCAAUGGGCGGGAGCCUGAACCAGCCAAGUCGCGUGAAGGAAGAAGGAUCUAUGGUUCGUAAACUUCUUUUGCAAGGGAAUAAAGUGCAGGACGUGUCCUGUUUUGUAUGUACCCUGAGAAUAAGGAUCGGCUAACUCCGUGCCAGCAGCCGCGGUAAUACGGAGGAUCCGAGCGUUAUCCGGAUUUAUUGGGUUUAAAGGGUGCGUAGGUGGUUUGAUAAGUCAGCGGUGAAAGUUUGCAGCUUAACUGUAAAAAUGCCGUUGAAACUGUCGGACUUGAGUGUAAAUGAGGUAGGCGGAAUGCGUGGUGUAGCGGUGAAAUGCAUAGAUAUCACGCAGAACUCCGAUUGCGAAGGCAGCUUACUAAGCUACAACUGACACUGAAGCACGAAAGCGUGGGGAUCAAACAGGAUUAGAAACCCCAGUAGUCC
Molecule: ribosomal RNA, 445 nt
Filed under: uncultured bacterium
Lineage: Bacteria
Description: partial 16S ribosomal RNA
Rfam family: Bacterial small subunit ribosomal RNA
Source: RNAcentral